RNAcentral lists this non-coding RNA (28 nucleotides) under Mus musculus (house mouse). Lineage: Eukaryota; Metazoa; Chordata; Mammalia; Rodentia; Muridae. The record is from RNAcentral.
UGUGUAUGAUUUAGUAUGGUGAUAUUUG